GGCAAGAAAGGCAACAGGGGGGCCAAAGGGGAUAAGGGAGACCAAGGAGCCCCGGGAUUAGAUGCCCCGUGUCCCUUGGGUGAUGAUGGUUUGCCAGUACCAGGGUGUUGGAAUAAAUGACAUUAAUUCCUGAGUGCCAUGUGUGAUUGUAAAUAGAAUAUUUAUUUUUGUACUUUUUUUGCCAUUGAUCUGUUAUAUCGAUGGAAAAUACAGCAAACCAUAAAAAUACUGGCAGGACUUUUGUACAGAUGUUUAUUUUUAUUACUGGUAAUGUUGUUUAUGUAAUGGACUUUAUACUGUACCUAUGCAUUAUGUCAAGAUGUUUUUUUUUGAUGGAGGAAGAAAUAUACUGUGGCAGCAUAUGCAUGAUAUUUGUGCAUUAUGUUAACUGAUAGGUGCCUAUUAACUUAUUGUAUCAUGGUGUUUUAAUGUGUUGUGUCGGACCACGCUGCACUGAUUAGUGGGGCUGGAGUUACAAAUUGGCCUUGUGUGUAAGAGGAAACCCUUUGCUCUGAGAUUAACAUGUUCACACCACACCUAAUGAGCUUACACUGUAACUGCAUAUGUUUACUGAACAUUAAAAUGACUUAUUUCAAAGUCCAUACUACAUGCAGUAGAAUUAUAGUAGAACAAGUCAGUUGUUUUAUAUGAGUUUCAGUGCUUACAUUUUGAACAUUUGCACUGCAUGGCUUGUUAAGUGAGUUUUCUCCAUAAUCACCUGCCAUUUUUUGCCAAAUAUAUUAUUGCUAAAACUGAAUUAGUGAAUGGCUUUAUGUAAAGAAAAGAAUGACUUAAGUCCACACGCAGUGCUUUGCCUUGAUGGGUUUCAUGUAAAUAUGCCUAAACCUUGCCCUUUGAGCAGCUAUUUUUUCUCUAUGUUUAUUCUUAUUUCUGGCAAUUUAAUAGCAUAGUCGAUAAAUGUAAUUUACAUACUUAGGCAAUGAAUUUAGUCUUAAUUUAUCUCGUACAUAUUGCUGCUCACUGUCAAGCACAUAUCUGUGUUUGUUAAUAAGCAUCAACACAACCACUCAAAAGUUUGAGGUCAGUCUUUUUUUUUU
This is a long non-coding RNA of Sinocyclocheilus rhinocerous, 1058 nucleotides long. RefSeq lists it as uncharacterized. The record is from RefSeq and is a predicted model, not a curated record. Lineage: Eukaryota; Metazoa; Chordata; Actinopteri; Cypriniformes; Cyprinidae. The transcript is spliced from 3 exons.